Molecule: transfer RNA, 73 nt
Filed under: Megalops atlanticus (tarpon)
Lineage: Eukaryota; Metazoa; Chordata; Actinopteri; Elopiformes; Megalopidae
Description: tRNA-OTHER
Source: RNAcentral
AGCACAGUGGCUCAGUGGCUAGCACUGUUGCCUCACAGCAAAAAGGUCCAGGGUUCAAAUCCCAGCUGUCCCA